RNA transcript from Vicia villosa (hairy vetch), 3252 nucleotides. RefSeq lists it as uncharacterized. NCBI's taxonomy places the organism in Eukaryota, Viridiplantae, Streptophyta, Magnoliopsida, Fabales, Fabaceae. The record is from RefSeq and is a predicted model, not a curated record. The transcript has 4 exons.
AAUUGAAGCAAAAAGGGAAGGAGUUAAUGAGAAUUAGAAAAGACAUAUAACAGUACUUUUACUUUAUGCAUGGCAUGGGACCUUGUUUCCCUAUAUUCGAUUAUAUAUUCAUGAAAAGGUCUCACCAGCAUGAAACACUUCAUGAAAUCUCCUCAGUCAAAGGUAAAAUGGAUGAACCAUGAUAUUAUGGGUAUAAUGGAGAUCAAUUUUUGAUCUAGGGUGUUAUACCCUAAUUUGUAUCCCUAAGAUUCUAGCUUCCAUUCAUUAUCAUAUCAUGUGCAUCCAACCAAAGAUCACAAGCAUGACAUCCUCCUAAUCCUUAACCCUUUGGUUUGCUUUUUGUGGGAGAUCACCAAGCACCCUUUCUAUUUAUUAUUUUUCCAUCUAUGAUUGUUUAUAUUUUGUCAACUAACUUUGCUAACCUUAUUCAAAAUACAAAAAACGUGUCUCUUUAUUUUCUUAUUGUACAAUGUAGGAGCUUGCAAUCAAGGGAGCAAAAGAGUAUCUAAUUCUUAAAAGAUCUUAUUCAAUGAUCAAGAAUGAUUAGAGAUUCAAGGUUACUUGGUUUAUGGUUGAAUAUAUCAAAAGAUCAAGGAUUGUUGUUCGGUUGACAUGAGGAAUCUAUUCAGGUUGAAGCAAUUAUAACAUUCCGAUCGUGCUUCGAGAUCUUCGGGGUAGUUCAAAGACCAUCCUUGUGGAAUUUUUGCUGAUAUAUUAUCUACAUCUUGCCUCUUUCUCUAAAAAUCAAGAAUUUAGACUAGGAAUGUUUUAAAUUUGUUUGUUGUCUUCUACUUUGAUUUUAUUUGUAGGCCCAGGUUAUAACGCAAAUAAUGGAAAUGUCGAGACCGAAUAUGCCAGAAAUCUAGGAAAUCCUUACAUGUUCUAUUAUGGCAUGAACUGGGUAAUUUGUUUGUUAUUUUCAAAUGUAUUUUCUUGAGCUCGGUUGGGAAUUAAGUAAAGCUUGGCUAAUAAAUGCUCCGCCCAAGAUUCAAAAUUGUCUAACUUUCCUCAAUCUUCCAAAUUAUGUAGAUUUCACAACCACCAUGAUAAUGUGUAUUGGGUUUAGAUAACUGGAACUACUUAGUACAUGUCUGUGUUUAAAUGUGUACUUGAUACAAAGAUUUGAUGUCUCAGAACUAAAUCAUUUGUUUUAUGUAACUUCUUUUCAAAUUUCUUGAUGGUUAUUCUUAAUGUAACGAUUAACGAAACACCAAUUAAUGUAACAAUGACUAUCCAGUUUUAUGUUUAAAUAUUCAAUUGAAUAUCUAAUCUAAUGGCUCUUUGAUGUCAAUUCACAGUUAAAUUUUACAGUCUGUUUUAUGUGUUGAUCUCUUGUGGAAACAUUUGGCCAAUGUAUUUAUAAAAAGAGGAGACAAAAUCGUGGAAGAAAUUAACUAACAAUGCAGUCUCAGGUGCUGCUGGAAUGAUUUCCCAUUAUCAGCUUUUCAAAGUGAGCAUGUCUUUGAUUUAAAUAAGGACCAUGUUGGUCAAGCACAAGCCUUUAAUGUUCAUGCAACUUAUCUCCACUGACUUAAUUUAUUAUGUCAGCUUGCAUCUGGUGAAGUUUUCAAUCCAAGCUCUUGAAGGUCAUAGGUGUCAGCUCAUUGUUAUACUAUCUAAUUAUAUCUACAUUUAUUUUCUCUUUGUGUUGAAUUAUAUUAAGUUACUGGAGUCCAUACUCUUGAGAACGGGAUUUUACAAGAAUUAUCCCUUGAAUCCAAAUUCCCGUCUGACUAUUCAUUGGCAUUUUCAAGUCAGUUAUUUUUUGAAGACUAUUACUAUUGUUAUGUGUCAGAAAAACACACACCAGGUUAGCAAUUUCAUUACUCCCUCCGUCUCACAAUGAGUGAUCCAUUUGGAAUAAAAUGAUGUCCCAAAAUGAAUGAUCCAUUUCAAUUUCCAAUAUUUUUUUUACAAUUCUACCCUCUAAUUAUUAAAAAGUUCACAAUUCUCAAUACAUGAUAAGGGUAUUAUGGUAAAAACAAUAUUAUCCCUCUUACUUUUUUACACUUUUCUUAAUCUGUGUGAAAUGGUGUGUUGGGCCACUUAUUGUGGGACGGAGGGAGUAGAUCACAUGUGCACAAAAUAACAUGGCUAAACAAUUAUACUAAUACAUAGAAUCAACUUUGCCAUAUUUAAAAUGGUGACUUUUAUCUUUGUAAGUUGUAACAUUGACAUGUGGAAAUAUUCUAUAGAUUGCAAAGGAAAUUAUUGCGGCUGGGAUAGCUUUAUCUGCUAAUUCAACAUCUGCAGUUAUUGAUAAACAACUCAAAGAGGAAAGUAGGGCGUUGAAGUUUGGAGCAUUGCAGGUUGAAGUUAUUCUCACUAAAGUCAAUAUAGGGGUUGCAAUUGCAUUCGUUUUUGGUUAAGUCUUCCAUUUUAAAAUUUUAUCGCUACAAAAUCUCUCUUCUCAAUAUUGUUACCUGCAUUUGACUUGACUGAUGGUACUAGGUGUUAGAAAAUAUCAGUUUCAAUUGAAUGGACCGAGGCUAGAAUCGUGAACGAAAUCACUUUUCUUAAAAGUAUUUCAAGCACACUCUCGAUUGUCUUAGAGUUGGAACGACCCGAAUACCCAGGAUAAUUUAGCCUUACUCGAGUCUGCACAAGACCGAUGAAGAACUCGAAUGCAAGGAAGAGUGUCUGAAAUAAUGAAGAGAAUUUAUGAUUUUUGUGUAUUUCAUUUUGGAUUCAUAAAUGUGUAUUUAUAGGUCAUGCAUGUGUUGUUUCAUAAGUUUGCAACUCUUGAUGAAACAACACCUUUUCACCAUAUAUUGCAAUGGUUCAUCUAUAAUGACACAAGACACCCCUUCAUGAAAUGUUGUAAAUUUGAAUUCAAAAAACAAAUUUAUGCAACAACCAAAAAUUUAUUCCCAUUUUUUUUCACAUUAGAACACACUAUGGUAAUUAUUAUUUUAUAAUUUCCAACAAUCCCCCACUUGUUCUAAUAAUGACAAAAUUAAUAAUUCCAGAAAUGAGAUAUAAAGAGUGUUAAUACAGUUAGGUAUCUUUCGAUUUAAAACUUAACCUUAGUGAGUACAACACAAAGUUUAAUCGGAAUAUUAGGUAGCAAAGCUUUUAAACCAUGAAUCCAUAUGAUUAGACCGGUGUUGCCUUACACACACUCUUUAAAGGUUCUUCCUCUGCAUAACUCGCUUAGCACUUAUUUAUGGCCAUGUGCUAUCCUGUUUCAUGAAUUUUUCAUGAGAGAAACUCCAACUCUCACUUUGAGACGGCACCAUCUCGAAAUUCACA